GUGGGUAUAGCUCAGUGGUAGAGUGGGUACUUAGCAUCCACAAAGUCCUGGGUUCAAUCCCCAAUACCUCCG
This 72-nucleotide transfer RNA is filed under the name Camelus bactrianus (Bactrian camel). It matches the Rfam family "tRNA". Rfam says of the family: Transfer RNA (tRNA) molecules are approximately 80 nucleotides in length. Their secondary structure includes four short double-helical elements and three loops (D, anti-codon, and T loops). RNAcentral also lists the same sequence under 2 other names. Lineage: Eukaryota; Metazoa; Chordata; Mammalia; Artiodactyla; Camelidae. The record is from Rfam by way of RNAcentral.